RNAcentral lists this ribosomal RNA (1443 nucleotides) under uncultured organism. RNAcentral describes it as "SSU rRNA". It matches the Rfam family "Bacterial small subunit ribosomal RNA". The record is from RNAcentral.
UGAACGCUAGCUACAGGCUUAACACAUGCAAGUCGAGGGGCAGCAUCAUUAAAGCUUGCUUUGAUGGAUGGCGACCGGCGCACGGGUGAGUAACGCGUAUCCAACCUGCCGACAACACUGGGAUAGCCUUUCGAAAGAAAGAUUAAUACCGGAUGGCAUAGUUUUCCCGCAUGGGAUAAUUAUUAAAGAAUUUCGGUUGUCGAUGGGGAUGCGUUCCAUUAGGCAGUUGGCGGGGUAACGGCCCACCAAACCAACGAUGGAUAGGGGUUCUGAGAGGAAGGUCCCCCACAUUGGAACUGAGACACGGUCCAAACUCCUACGGGAGGCAGCAGUGAGGAAUAUUGGUCAAUGGACGAGAGUCUGAACCGGCCAAGUAGCGUGAAGGAUGACUGCCCUAUGGGUUGUAAACUUCUUUUAUACGGGAAUAAAGUGAGCCACGUGUGGCUUUUUGUAUGUACCGUAUGAAUAAGGAUCGGCUAACUCCGUGCCAGCAGCCGCGGUAAUACGGAGGAUCCGAGCGUUAUCCGGAUUUAUUGGGUUUAAAGGGAGCGUAGGCGGGUUGUUAAGUCAGUUGUGAAAGUUUGCGGCUCAACCGUAAAAUUGCAGUUGAUACUGGAUAUCUUGAGUGCAGUGAGGGCAGGCGGAAUUCGUGGUGUAGCGGUGAAAUGCUUAGAUAUCACGAAGAACUCCGAUUGCGAAGGCAGCCUGCUAAGCUGCAACUGACAUUGAGGCUCGAAAGUGUAGGUAUCAAACAGGAUUAGAUACCCUGGUAGUCCACACGGUAAACGAUGAAUACUCGCUGUUUGCGAUAUACAGCAAGCGGCCAAGCGAAAGCGUUAAGUAUUCCACCUGGGGAGUACGCCGGCAACGGUGAAACUCAAAGGAAUUGACGGGGGCCCGCACAAGCGGAGGAACAUGUGGUUUAAUUCGAUGAUACGCGAGGAACCUUACCCGGGCUUAAAUUGCAGAUGAAUUACGGUGAAAGCCGUAAGCCGCAAGGCAUCUGUGAAGGUGCUGCAUGGUUGUCGUCAGCUCGUGCCGUGAGGUGUCGGCUUAAGUGCCAUAACGAGCGCAACCCUUGUUGUCAGUUACUAACAGGUUCCGCUGAGGACUCUGACAAGACUGCCAUCGUAAGAUGUGAGGAAGGUGGGGAUGACGUCAAAUCAGCACGGCCCUUACGUCCGGGGCUACACACGUGUUACAAUGGGGGGUACAGAGGGCCGCUACCACGCGAGUGGAUGCCAAUCCCCAAAACCUCUCUCAGUUCGGACUGGAGUCUGCAACCCGACUCCACGAAGCUGGAUUCGCUAGUAAUCGCGCAUCAGCCACGGCGCGGUGAAUACGUUCCCGGGCCUUGUACACACCGCCCGUCAAGCCAUGGGAGCCGGGGGUACCUGAAGUGCGUAACCGCGAGGAGCGCCCUAGGGUAAAACUGGUGACUGG